UACAGAGGUCUCAAGCGUUGUUCGGAUUCAUUGGGCGUAAAGGGCGCGUAGGCUGCGGGGCAAGUCGGGUGUGAAAUCUCAGAGCUCAACUCUGAAACUGCACUCGAUACUGCUUUGCUCGAGGACUGGAGAGGAGAUUGGAAUUCACGGUGUAGCAGUGAAAUGCGUAGAUAUCGUGAGGAAGACCAGUGGCGAAGGCGGAUCUCUGGACAGUGCCUGACGCUGAGGCGCGAAGGCCAGGGGAGCAAACGGG
Molecule: ribosomal RNA, 253 nt
Filed under: uncultured bacterium
Lineage: Bacteria
Description: partial 16S ribosomal RNA
Rfam family: Bacterial small subunit ribosomal RNA
Source: RNAcentral